Non-coding RNA from Salvelinus sp. IW2-2015, 1167 nucleotides. The record is from RefSeq and is a predicted model, not a curated record. Lineage: Eukaryota; Metazoa; Chordata; Actinopteri; Salmoniformes; Salmonidae.
CAACAAAAGAGGAGGAGGAAGACGUUUUGGGAGUGACAGAGGAGGAGGAAGAUGGAGAGGAGGAAGAGACUGAAGAUCCUGUUAACACCACAGGGGAGAGACCAGACGCAGACUCUCAGUGUGACAGCUUGAAGAGUGCUUCAGGGGAACCAGACCCAGAGACGUCCAAACCAGAAAGACGAAGACACUGCUCUCAGUGUGGAAAGAGUUUUAGCUGGUUUGCGAACCUGAAACGACAUGAGAGGACACACACAAAGGAGAGACCCUACCAAUGCAUUCAGUGUGGAAAGAAUUUUAAUUCAUCAGAAUAUAUGAAAAAACAUGAAAAAAUACACUCUAAGCCUUACCACUGCUCCCAGUGUGAAAGAAGUUUUACCCAACGGGGGGACCUGAAAUCACAUGAGAGGACACACACAGGAGAGAAGCCUUACCACUGCUCACAGUGUGAAAGGAAUUUUUUCUCAUCGGGGUCCUUGAAAAGACAUGAGGGGACACACUCUGUGGAAAAACCUUUCCACUGUUCUCAUUGUGAAAAGAGUUUUAAGAAUGUAUGGAACCUGAAAGAACAUGAGCAAAGACACACAAUGGAGAAGCCUUUCCACUGCUCCCACUGUGGAAUUAAAUUUACGUGGUUUCAACAACUUAAAGAGCAUGAAAGAAUCCACAUCGUAGAGAAAAGUUAUCAGUGCCUCCGGUGUGGAAAGAUAUUUAUGCAGUUAGGGCACCUGAAAGUCCAUGAGGUAACACACACAGGGGAGAAGCCUUACCAAUGCUCCCAGUGUGGAAAGAGAUAUAGUACCUCACAUGGACUUAAAAUUCAUCAGAAAACACACAUUGUGCUCCCACAAUUGUCUCAUAUUUUUGACUGAGUGUUUUUGUUUAUGCCACAUUAAAUCUAAUUAUAGAAAGUGGACUCAAAAAUACAUUUGUAUGAUUUAUUUUUAUUUUAAAAUAUAAAUUGAAUAUGGAGUGAGUAAGUGUAUGGCUUUCCCAGAUUUCUAUGAUGUAUAAUUAAUUACAAUAUGAGUGAAAUCGUUUUCCAAAUYUUUAAAAUUAAGUAUGUUAAAAAGGUAGCUUUUCUGUGUUGGAAUGGUGUGCGUAUCCCAACUACAGAAUGUUGUGGGCAUAUAUACAAGUCAUUAAAGGGAUACUUUAUGAUUUUGACAA